Molecule: ribosomal RNA, 253 nt
Filed under: uncultured prokaryote
Description: partial 16S ribosomal RNA
Rfam family: Bacterial small subunit ribosomal RNA
Source: RNAcentral
UACGGAGGGUGCGAGCGUUGUCCGGAAUCACUGGGCGUAAAGGGCGCGUAGGUGGCGGUCCAAGUCAACGGUGAAAGCUCGGGGCUCAACCCCGAGUCGGCCGUCGAUACUGGGUUGCUUGAGCACUGCAGAGGCAGAUGGAAUUCCGGGUGUAGCGGUGGAAUGCGUAGAGAUCCGGAAGAACACCGGUGGCGAAGGCGGUCUGCUGGGCAGUAGCUGACACUGAGGCGCGACAGCGUGGGGAGCAAACAGG